This 383-nucleotide ribosomal RNA is filed under the name uncultured bacterium. Its description in RNAcentral is "bacterial SSU rRNA". It matches the Rfam family "Bacterial small subunit ribosomal RNA", at positions 419 to 793 of the family's 1533-position model. The record is from RNAcentral.
CGGGUUGUAAAGUACUUUCAGCAGUGAGGAAGGUGGAUAUGUUAAUAGCAUAUUCAUUUUGACGUUUAGCUGCAGAAGAAGCACCGGCUAACUCCGUGCCAGCAGCCGCGGUAAUACGGAGGGUGCGAGCGUUAAUCGGAAUUACUGGGCGUAAAGCGCAUGCAGGUGGUUUGUUAAGUCAGAUGUGAAAGCCCGGGGCUCAACCUCGGAAUUGCAUUUGAAACUGGCAAACUAGAGUACUGUAGAGGGGGUAGAAUUUCAGGUGUAGCGGUGAAAUGCGUAGAGAUCUGAAGGAAUACCGGUGGCGAAGGCGGCCCCCUGGACAGAUACUGACACUCAGAUGCGAAAGCGUGGGGAGCAAACAGGAUUAGAUACCCUGGUAG